AGCAGCCGCGGUAAUUCCAGCUCCAAUAGCGUAUAUUAAAGUUGUUGCAGUUAAAAAGCUCGUAGUUGAAUUUCGGGAUUGACACAUCGGUCGUGCCUUAAGGGGUAUGAACUGGUGUAGUCAAUUUCUCACCUUCUGGAGAACCGCGAUGCCCUUAAUUGGGUGUCACGGGGAACCAGGACCUUUACUUUGAAAAAAUUAGAGUGUUUAAAGCAGGCAUUUUGCUUGAAUACAUUAGCAUGGAAUAAUAAAAUAGGACGGCAUGGUUCUAUUUUGUUGGUUUCUAGGAUCACCGUAAUGAUUAAUAGGGAUAGUUGGGGGCAUUAGUAUUCAAUUGUCAGAGGUGAAAUUCUUGGAUUUAUUGAAGACUAACUACUGCGAAAGCAUUUGCCAAGGAUGUUUUCAUUAAUCAAGAACGAAAGUUAGGGGAUCGAAGACGAUCAGAUACCGUCGUAGUCUUAACCAUAAACUAUGCCGACUAGGAAUCAGACGAUGUUAAUUUUUUAAUGACUCGUUUGGCACCUUACG
RNAcentral lists this ribosomal RNA (528 nucleotides) under uncultured Glomus. RNAcentral's name for it is "SSU rRNA". It matches the Rfam family "Eukaryotic small subunit ribosomal RNA", at positions 569 to 1092 of the family's 1831-position model. The record is from RNAcentral. Lineage: Eukaryota; Fungi; Glomeromycota; Glomeromycetes; Glomerales; Glomeraceae.